Molecule: ribosomal RNA, 449 nt
Filed under: uncultured bacterium
Lineage: Bacteria
Description: partial 16S ribosomal RNA
Rfam family: Bacterial small subunit ribosomal RNA
Source: RNAcentral
AACGAACGCUGGCGGCAGGCCUAACACAUGCAAGUCGAACGCUGCAGCAAUGCAGAGUGGCAGACGGGUGAGUAACGCGUGGGAACCUUCCCAAUGGUACGGAAUAGCCCAGGGAAACUUGGGGUACUACCGUAUAAGCCCCAUGGGGGAAAGAUUUAUCGCCAUUGGAUGGGCCCGCGUCGGAUUAGCUAGUUGGUGAGGUAACGGCUCACCAAGGCGACGAUCCGUAGCUGGUUUGAGAGAAUGACCAGCCACACUGGGACUGAGACACGGCCCAGACUCCUACGGGAGGCAGCAGUGGGGAAUCUUGGACAAUGGGCGAAAGCCUGAUCCAGCCAUGCCGCGUGAGUGACGAAGGCCUUAGGGUUGUAAAGCUCUUUUGGCGGGGACGAUAAUGACGGUACCCGCAGAAUAAGUCCCGGCUAACUUCGUGCCAACAGCCGCCGCCG